UCAUAUACAUUGAUGUCGGAUCACAAAAA
Molecule: small RNA, 29 nt
Filed under: Bombyx mori (domestic silkworm)
Lineage: Eukaryota; Metazoa; Arthropoda; Insecta; Lepidoptera; Bombycidae
Description: piRNA piR-bmo-2188553
Source: RNAcentral